ACUCUUCAACCCUCCGGUUCCUUGUGAACUGAUAGGUGUUUGGAUCUUGAGCGCUGCUGGCCUAACCCUUUCGGGGGCACAUGGCGAAGCUCGUUCGUAAUACAUUAGCAACUCAAUUUCGAGUAUUCGGAUUGACUCGGCGUAAUAGACUAUUCGCUGAGGACACUUAGGUGGCCGAAUCUUGAGGUAGUAGCUUCUAACUCGAUCAAAAGUCAAAUUUUAG
RNAcentral lists this unclassified non-coding RNA (223 nucleotides) under uncultured Rhodotorula. Its description in RNAcentral is "sequence contains ITS2". The record is from RNAcentral. Lineage: Eukaryota; Fungi; Basidiomycota.